UAGUACCUUACUACUUGGAUAACCGUGGUAAUUCUAGAGCUAAUACAUGCUGAAAACCCCGACUUCGGAAGGGAUGUAUUUGUUAGAUUAAAAGCCAAUGCCCUCCGGGGCCUCCUGGUGAUUCAUGACAACUUCUCGAAUCGCACGGCCUUGCGCCGGCGAUGGUUCAUUCAAAUUUCUGCCCUAUCAACUUUCGACGGCUGGGUCUUGGCCAGCCGUGGUGACAACGGGUAACGGAGGGUUAGGGCUCGACCCCGGAGAAGGAGCCUGAGAAACGGCUACUACAUCCAAGGAAGGCAGCAGGCGCGCAAAUUACCCAAUCCCGACACGGGGAGGUAGUGACAAUAAAUACUGAUACAGGGCUCUUUUGGGUCUUGUAAUUGGAAUGAGUACAAUUUAAUUCCCUUAACGAGGAACAAUUGGAGGGCAAGUCUGGUGCCAGCAGCCGCGGUAAUUCCAGCUCCAAUAGCGUAUAUUAAAGUUGUUGCAGUUAAAAAGCUCGUAGUUGAACCUUGGGCCUGGCUGGCCGGUCCGCCUCACCGCGUGCACUGGUCCGGCCGGGCCUUUCCCUCUGGGGAGCCGCAUGCCCUUCGCUGGGCGUGCCGGGGAACCAGGACGUUUACUUUGAAAAAAUUAGAGUGUUCAAAGCAGGCUUAUGCUCGGAUACAUUAGCAUGGAAUAAUGGAAUAGGACGCGCGGUUCUAUUUUGUUGGUUUCUAGGACCGCCGUAAUGAUCAAUAGGGACAGUCGGGGGCAUCAGUAUUCCGUUGUCAGAGGUGAAAUUCUUGGAUUUACGGAAGACUAACUACUGCGAAAGCAUUUGCCAAGGAUGUUUUCAUUAAUCAGGAACGAAAGUUAGGGGAUCGAAGACGAUCAGAUACCGUCGUAGUCUUAACCAUAAACUAUGCCGACUAGGGAUCGGAC
Molecule: ribosomal RNA, 924 nt
Filed under: Raffaelea canadensis
Lineage: Eukaryota; Fungi; Ascomycota; Sordariomycetes; Ophiostomatales; Ophiostomataceae
Description: SSU rRNA
Rfam family: Eukaryotic small subunit ribosomal RNA
Source: RNAcentral